Numida meleagris (helmeted guineafowl) is the source of this 4699-nucleotide long non-coding RNA. RefSeq lists it as uncharacterized. NCBI's taxonomy places the organism in Eukaryota, Metazoa, Chordata, Aves, Galliformes, Numididae. The transcript is spliced from 13 exons. The record is from RefSeq and is a predicted model, not a curated record.
AUGUGGGAAAAGAGCUCUACCCAGACCCUUCUCCAUCCAGGCUGAGGAAGUGAGCUACAGAUGGAUUCCAAAGGCAUCAAUUCUCAUGGGUCGUUCUUCACUGCGAUUCACCCCAUUCACUCUACUGAAUGAAAAGGUUUUUUGCAUUUCUGGUGUCUGUGUGAAGGGGUCAGCAGGCAAACAGCAUCUCCUGACAGACAGCGUCUAUGCUCUGCGACUGCUGGAAGAUAGUCAGAAAAGACACAGUACAAGAUGAAGAGCACUGCGUGUUGAACUGAAGACUCUGAGUACAGAAAGCCCAUUUAUAAGAGAAAUAAAGUUUGCCCACAGAUAACAUAACCAAAGUUCUUCAGGAUGAACUCUGCUCAUUCACAGCCACUACGAGGAGUUCCCUUUUGCUUUGAGUUUCAGUUUCAGUUCUGCUGUUGAGGAACCUGUUUGAGCAAUGAGCAAGCACCUCCUUGGGCUCCCUGGGAGGCACUGCUAGAAAGAUGCUCUGCUGCUGCAGGCAGUGCUUCUGUAGCAUCACUCGUGACAAUGUGCUACUGUUGCCUUGAAGGGAUGCCAGCUUCAGUGUCAAAAAGAUAAGGAUUUUAUUCCUGAGGAACUUUCAAUGAGAGCACACUGCAGUCCUCCACAGAUCUGUCUGUACUUGACUUUCUGGAGCCUCAUGGAAAAGAUUUACAGAACAAAUGCUUUACUACCUGUUUGAAAAUGUCUCUGGGACAGAUCUUUGGUAUAACUCCAGAACCAGUAUUUCCUGAAGCUAAUGCACUACUCAUCUAACACCACUGAGUGGCAGAUAGCAAUGAACAACUCUGUAUGCAACAUUGUAUUUGACCAAGGAGAAACUGAUGAAUCUUCACUGUGUUCAACAAGCUAUGAAAUUUCUAGUCCAGUGCCAGUGAAACUGGGACACUGCAGCAUCAUAAACUAUCACUAUGUUGAUAACACACAGGCUAUUAACCUUCCAAAACAUUCACCUCGGAGGCUAAACUUCGCAGUACUUCAGCUUCGAUUCUGAGAAAUGUCUCUAUUCCACAACAACAUGAUAAGUGAGAGUGAAUUAAGUCCCUCGUGCAACAAAUGCAGGUUUGAGCAAUACCUCUUCAUCCAUCUUUAAAUAACAAGAGAAUGGCAAUAGGAGACGUGAUCAGACUGAACUUCUCUCUAUAAAAGCAUUUUAAAAUAUGGCACUUUACCAAUAGUAUUCUUGGAGGAUUUGCAAAACACAGCAGAAAUUCAGAAGAAUUGAAAACUGAGAGCUCCAAAAGAAACCGUUGCCACACCAAGAUGAAGAGGUGUAUUCCCCUGGAUCCUUGGGUGCCUCGGUUCAGGCUGGCUGAGUUCAGUGCACCGGCUGAGGGCAGGGGCAGCCUGCCAGCGCAGCAUCACUUUCUUUGGAUGUGGCACUGACAAGCUGCUGGCAGCGGUAGUUCUCGCUUGGCGUUUCUGUAGCUCAUCAUAGGACUAUUUGCAAGCUGCUCCUGAGUCCCACAUCAACACACACUUCCUUCUUGAAAAUGGCUGCCAAAAUUGUGAAGGUUUUGCACAGCCAUUCCCAAACCUGGGCUGGCAUCUCCAGACUCAUGGGAGAUGUGACACUGAUGACCCCAAAGAGAGAAGAAUUCCCCCACAGGCCAUUUCUUACCUCUGAUUUUUAAGCUGUAAAAGUAGUUGUGACUCCCAGAUACCAUCACCUUGACAGCACCUGUAGGCUUGAAUCACAGCUACCUGCUAUGUUUGGAGAAGUCCUUAGGUUAUGAAGGCCCUGCUAGAUCGCAGAUGGCUCCUCUGCUGUGCAGACAACCUGGCAUUUCUGUAGGACAGAAAAGCGAUGAUGACCACAUGGAAUGAAAACUCUAUUGUGGUUGUUGUUUUGUGAGUUUCCUUUCCAUCGAUGGAUUAUCCCAUGACUGAUCCACUCUUCAUCUGAGUCACCAACUGGUCAAUACUUAGAGUCUGAAGAGGGACGUACAAGUAUCAAAGAUCAAGACACUUUGGAUAGAUGGUGGCAAGGAACAUUAGAGUACCUCAGAAAGUUUCAUGAACCAUGUUUGACACAAUAAUUGCCAGUCAGAGACAAGUCAAAAAAAAUAGCUGAAUGUUAAGGAUCCUGUACAGAUUGUAUAGGUAACCUUUAUUCACAAGUAAACAUCAGGUAGACAUCCUGACAAAAGAAAAAAAAAGUCACUUUUCUGGAUGGCCUCCAAAUUAAAAGCAUUGUGAAUUCAUUUCAGGAAUAAAAUUACAGUCCUGAUAGCCUAAUCUUCUCUUUGGGAUAAGAAAACACGGCAUCUCAGGAAGAGGCUUCAGUAGAGCCAAGUGAGUUCAUGAUCAUUUAAUUCAAAAUCUCCACAUAAUUUCCUUUUAUUUAAAGCGUUAUUAAGAAAUAUCCUCCAGCUUAUCACAUGUGAAGCAUAAGCUUCCUUUGAUAUUAACUUUGACACAUACAGAGCAGUUGGGGAAUUAUAUUCAUUUAGGUGAUGGCACCUGUUAGUGAGCAUUUGAUUGCCCUUAGUGUAGAAGGAUUUACUCUUGUUAUUGAUUUGUUGGCAAAUAUAUUGGCUGGAAAUCCCCUGGUAUUGCUGGUAGCUGCAGAUUCCAAAUAUUAUUGGAUUUGUGAGCAAUUUUCCUCCCUGUUUAAACAUCUGAUUGCUUUAUAAAAAGAAGAGCCUAACAGUAAGGUGAAAAACAAAUGCUAGAUUUUAUUCUGUUGAGAAGGAAAGCUUCCUUGUUUUGCUUUUCUCCUGGUUGUUGUUUGCAUUCAUCUGGCUUUUGUUAUGGUUACUCUUACAACAGGCACAGAACUGGGAAUACAUUGCCACAGGAGCCAGCCAGAAAGAUGCCAUUACAGCUAAUGGGCAAGGGAUUGUCAGUGCAAAUACUGUCCCGUGCAGAGGAUAGAAAUCAGACCCAUCCACCCUUUAAGUGCCACAAAUAAAUGUAUGGGCUGCCGUGACUUCAUUUGUAUCACUGUUUUCCUUCUGAAUAAUUUUCCUUGAUCGUAUGGACAGCAAUUAGUGAAAGCCAAGAAUAAGCCAAAUAGAAGCUUUGCCAUCCUGACCCCAGAUGGUAUGGCCACGGGCAGCCAGGCAGCUUCUCUCCGCUCAUACACACUGUGGGCACCAGCCUGGGACCAGUCUGAUGCAGAUGACUGCAGUGGGCUGUGGGUGAGACAGAGCCAGGGUCAGGUAGCUCUGGGAGCACUAGGGGAUGGCAGUCUUCCCAACGCCCAUGCUGUGCCUUGGUUUGUUCUCCAGCAGUCACUGUAUUUUUAGUUCUUGUUACUGGAUUCUCAGGAAAAGUAAAUUGAUUUGUCUUUAUAGGUUCCUUGCCAAGGCCCCGUUCCUCUGUCACUAUACACUGAAAUUUCUGGUAGAAUACUACAGAAGUGCCGCAAGUCAUGAAUGCAGAAUUGAGCCUCUAGGACAGAGAAAUGUCUCCUUUUCAGAUUUUCUGUAAGACUGAUUCACAAAACUUGAUCAGAAUUUAUAACAACAACAAAAAAGGGAGUUUAAUUAGACCCAGAUUGGGAGAUGUCUGAAGAAAUUAGGUUUCAUUAUGUUCUCAUAUUAUAUCCUACAGUAUUCAUCCAGUUAAGGUUGGUGCUCAAGUUAUUUUUAAUAUGGGGAAUGAAUAAGAUAACCUAAGAUGCUGUAUGAUUGCUCCAGCUGAGACAUAAUAGUUGAAAGUCAUUCUUUCCAAUAAAAGUAACAGUGAACUGUGCUAUUAAUUCAUGGUAAUGAUGCCACUGGGAGAAGUAUAUGUCUUCCACUGCUGAAUAAUCAACAAAAGUAAAUUAACUUCAAGCAGCAGAAUAUGUAUGUGUGUAUGUCUAUGUGAGUUUACAUGACCUUGAGAAUAAAAAACAGAAAAACAAAUUAAAUACAGUUUUAAGCAAUAUAAGAAUGUAUUUUUAAAGUACUUAUUUUGGGAAGUAGUCCGUGUGAAUUCAGGAGUCCACAAAGCGAAGUGAAUCGUCACUCUCUUCUUGCAUAUCUUAACUAAAAUGCAUAGAUAUAUGCUUCUACCUGAAACCUUUCCAAAUUUCAGCUCUGAUACAUGUAGAAAUAUGGUUCCUGGUGCAUUUCAUUUUAACAUCUAACUCAACCAAAUCAAAAGGAAAACACUGAUUUUAAUAAAUCUGUGGUUUCUUAUCCUUUGUCACUCAGUCCUCGUUGACUCUUUCAAUUUGGCUGCUAAUUAAAGAGAAAGCAUUUAUCUCCUUCGUAGACAUUUUUGAUCAGCCUUUUCAAGCUAAAUGAAAACACUCAACUUCUUAAUAUGAAAAUUGAUUUUUAGCUGUGUUUAUCUACCAAUUUAUUUUUUUGUCUUUCUUUCCUACUCUUCCUCCCAAAAAGUACAAUUUUUUCUGAUGCUGCAUGCUUUUCACUCUAAUAACUUUGUUAUGAUUUAAUCACGUAUGCUUCUGAUGAACUUCUACCUGUUCAGACUUAAUGUGUUAGCUCAAAUUCACUCUUAUCAGCUUUGAAGAAAAAAGACAUUUCCCUUUUUUUUUUAAGUCAGUUUCUUCUUUUUUUUUUUUUAUAUGUAGAUACUCCACUCACCUUCAUUCAGUCAGUACUUCUUUGCAUUUCUCCAGAUCACAUUCCUGUCAUGGUUUUAUCAUUUUCGGUUAUUGGUACUCCACAUCAUAACAUCAUGUAGUGAAUGUACCUGGUUCUCAGAAGAGAAG